GAUGAGCGCUGGCGGCGUGCCUAAUACAUGCAAGUCGAGCGAACAGACGAGGAGCUUGCUCCUCUGACGUUAGCGGCGGACGGGUGAGUAACACGUGGAUAACCUACCUAUAAGACUGGGAUAACUUCGGGAAACCGGAGCUAAUACCGGAUAAUAUAUUGAACCGCAUGGUUCAAUAGUGAAAGACGGUUUUGCUGUCACUUAUAGAUGGAUCCGCGCCGCAUUAGCUAGUCGGUAAGGUAACGGCUUACCAAGGCAACGAUGCGUAGCCGACCUGAGAGGGUGAUCGGCCACACUGGAACUGAGACACGGUCCAGACUCCUACGGGAGGCAGCAGUAGGGAAUCUUCCGCAAUGGGCGAAAGCCUGACGGAGCAACGCCGCGUGAGUGAUGAAGGUCUUCGGAUCGUAAAACUCUGUUAUUAGGGAAGAACAAAUGUGUAAGUAACUAUGCACGUCUUGACGGUACCUAAUCAGAAAGCCACGGCUAACUACGUG
Molecule: ribosomal RNA, 497 nt
Filed under: uncultured bacterium
Lineage: Bacteria
Description: partial 16S ribosomal RNA
Rfam family: Bacterial small subunit ribosomal RNA
Source: RNAcentral